This 253-nucleotide ribosomal RNA is filed under the name uncultured bacterium. RNAcentral describes it as "partial 16S ribosomal RNA". It matches the Rfam family "Bacterial small subunit ribosomal RNA", at positions 524 to 776 of the family's 1533-position model. The record is from RNAcentral.
UACGGAGGGUGCAAGCGUUGUCCGGAUUUAUUGGGUUUAAAGGGUACGUAGGCGGGUCUUUAAGUCCGUGGUGAAAGACUGCAGCUUAACUGCAGAACUGCCAUGGAUACUGGAGAUCUUGAAUUCAGUUGAGGUAAGCGGAAUUUAUGAUGUAGCGGUGAAAUGCAUAGAUAUCAUAAAGAACACCUAUUGCGAAGGCAGCUUGCUGGACUGGGAUUGACGCUAAGGUACGAAAGCGUGGGGAGCGAACAGG